Molecule: transfer RNA, 69 nt
Filed under: Trichiurus lepturus (Atlantic cutlassfish)
Lineage: Eukaryota; Metazoa; Chordata; Actinopteri; Scombriformes; Trichiuridae
Also listed under: 2 other names
Description: tRNA-Glu
Rfam family: tRNA
About the family: Transfer RNA (tRNA) molecules are approximately 80 nucleotides in length. Their secondary structure includes four short double-helical elements and three loops (D, anti-codon, and T loops). Further hydrogen bonds mediate the characteristic L-shaped molecular structure. tRNAs have two regions of fundamental functional importance: the anti-codon, which is responsible for specific mRNA codon recognition, and the 3' end, to which the tRNAs corresponding amino acid is attached (by aminoacyl-tRNA synthetases). tRNAs cope with the degeneracy of the genetic code in two manners: having more than one tRNA (with a specific anti-codon) for a particular amino acid; and 'wobble' base-pairing, i.e. permitting non-standard base-pairing at the 3rd anti-codon position.
Source: RNAcentral
GUUCUUCUAGUUAAGGAAUAACGUUGGUUUUUCAAGCCAGUGUUCUUGGUUAGAGUCCAAGGGAGAACC